AAAAUGACUCUCGACAACGGAUAUCUCGGCUCUCGCAUCGAUGAAGAACGUAGCGAAAUGCGAUACUUGGUGUGAAUUGCAGAAUCCCGUGAACCAUCGAGUCUUUGAACGCAAGUUGCGCCCGAAGCCUUCCGGCCGAGGGCACGCCUGCCUGGGUGUCAUGC
RNAcentral lists this ribosomal RNA (164 nucleotides) under Turnera rosulata. Its description in RNAcentral is "5.8S ribosomal RNA". It matches the Rfam family "5.8S ribosomal RNA". Rfam says of the family: 5.8S ribosomal RNA (5.8S rRNA) is a component of the large subunit of the eukaryotic ribosome. Lineage: Eukaryota; Viridiplantae; Streptophyta; Magnoliopsida; Malpighiales; Passifloraceae. The record is from RNAcentral.